This is a long non-coding RNA of Helianthus annuus (common sunflower), 992 nucleotides long. RefSeq lists it as uncharacterized. NCBI's taxonomy places the organism in Eukaryota, Viridiplantae, Streptophyta, Magnoliopsida, Asterales, Asteraceae. The transcript is spliced from 3 exons. The record is from RefSeq and is a predicted model, not a curated record.
UUAAAAUAUAAUUCAUAUCACCUGUUCCCUCCAAUUCAAACCCCAAAUUUUGGAUUCCCUCCCAUUGUCCUCCCUCAAAUUAUUAAAUUCCCUCUAAUUCCAGUUUUAAUUUAGUUUCACCAUACUAAUACCCUUGUUGAUACUCUCAAUUUUCCAUUCUUCCUUUUAUCCCCGUCCUAAAAUCACUCUUUUACUCUUUCUAAUCUUCCCUAUUUAGCCCGACCGCACGAGUUUCCGGAAAAGGUUCUCAAAGGUCCAUACAAAGAGGUUCGAGACUAAACUCGAGAUCCCUUCCGCGGUCAGGGGUACCGUGCAACUACCCUUUUAUUUAGCCCGAUGCAGUUGCCGGAACUUUCAUGGGAACAAGACGGGGGUGAAACUCCUUAUGGAGGAAAACUAUCCCUUCAUCUACACCACUAACCGAUUGGGAGUUUCCGGUGACCCACAAAAAUGGUAAACAAUCUUAGCCACCAGUGGGUUUCGAGUUUAGUCAAAUCAGAGGUGAAGUGUUUCUUUGUGCGAAAACAGUUAUGGACGUAAGAGAGGAUGUUUAGGACCAAUUGUGAUGAGAAGCGGUUGAUGAGGAAGCAAUCAGAUGACCAAUUGAAUUGCAUUCGCUAGAUACAUCAAUCUCACACAAGAUUGGAUAGAUAAUCAUUAUCGAGUAUGGGUUCUUUCAAAACGAAGGAGGUUAUGGAAACUGGGCACUUUUAAAACCAUUCAUCUAGAUGGCUGCGCUUGAUUUCUAGGUUUGUUAGAAAGUGACAAAGUUUGGUAUUAAUGUGUUAUUAUUGAUGGUGAUAUUCUAAUGUAUUAGUACUUGCGCCACGGUUGAAGGAUCAAAUGGCAGAGUUGAAACAAGAUGAAGCAUGAUAUGAAGGAGAAAUUUGUAUCUUUAUAUUGUUAGGUUUCAAUAAGUUUGAUAUUUUUUUCCUAUUUCGUUUGUAUAUUCAUCUUCGGUGUGAUUUGUAUAUAUGUAUUUAAAAUUUAAA